GACAGAGGAGCCAAGCGUUGUCCGGACUGACUGGGCGUAAAGCGCCCGCAGGCGGUCGUGCGCGUGGGGUGUGAAAGCGCUCGGCUUAACUGAGCGAGGCCAUCCCAUACGGCGCGACUCGAGCCGUCCAGAGGCCGGUGGAAUUGCCGGUGUAGUGGUGAAAUGCGUAGAGAUCCGGAAGAACACCGGUGGCGAAGGCGGUGAGCUGGGCAGUUGCUGACACUGAGGCGCGACAGCGUGGGGAGCAAUCGGG
This 253-nucleotide ribosomal RNA is filed under the name uncultured bacterium. RNAcentral describes it as "partial 16S ribosomal RNA". It matches the Rfam family "Bacterial small subunit ribosomal RNA", at positions 524 to 776 of the family's 1533-position model. The record is from RNAcentral.